RNAcentral lists this ribosomal RNA (721 nucleotides) under uncultured bacterium. Its description in RNAcentral is "bacterial SSU rRNA". It matches the Rfam family "Bacterial small subunit ribosomal RNA", at positions 8 to 717 of the family's 1533-position model. The record is from RNAcentral.
AGAGUUUGAUCAUGGCUCAGAUUGAACGCUGGCGGCAUGCCUUACACAUGCAAGUCGAACGGCAGCAUGAUCUAGCUUGCUAGAUUGAUGGCGAGUGGCGAACGGGUGAGUAAUACAUCGGAACGUGCCCUGUAGUGGGGGAUAACUAGUCGAAGGAUUAGCUAAUACCGCAUACGACCUGAGGGUGAAAGUGGGGGACCGCAAGGCCUCAUGCUAUAGGAGCGGCCGAUGUCUGAUUAGCUAGUUGGUGAGGUAAAGGCUCACCAAGGCGACGAUCAGUAGCUGGUCUGAGAGGACGAUCAGCCACGCUGGGACUGAGACACGGCCCAGACUCCUACGGGAGGCAGCAGUGGGGAAUUUUGGACAAUGGGCGAAAGCCUGAUCCAGCAAUGGCCGCGUGUGUGAAGAAGGCCUUCGGGUUGUAAAGCACUUUUGUCCGGAAAGAAAUGGCUCUGGUUAAUACCUGGGGUCGAUGACGGUACCGGAAGAAUAAGGACCGGCUAACUACGUGCCAGCAGCCGCGGUAAUACGUAGGGUCCAAGCGUUAAUCGGAAUUACUGGGCGUAAAGCGUGCGCAGGCGGUUGUGCAAGACCGAUGUGAAAUCCCCGAGCUUAACUUGGAAAUUGCAUUGGUGACUGCACGGCUAGAGUGUGUCAGAGGGGGGUAGAAUUCCACGUGUAGCAGUGAAAUGCGUAGAGAUGUGGAGGAAUACCGAUGGCG